This 515-nucleotide ribosomal RNA is filed under the name uncultured bacterium. RNAcentral's name for it is "bacterial SSU rRNA". It matches the Rfam family "Bacterial small subunit ribosomal RNA", at positions 18 to 507 of the family's 1533-position model. The record is from RNAcentral.
CCUGGCUCAGAACGAACACUGGCGGCGUGGAUUAGGCAUGCAAGUCGAACGAGAAAGGUCCCUUCGGGGGCUGAGUAGAGUGGCGAACGGGACAGUAACACGUGGGAAACCUGCCCUGCAGUGGGGGAUAACACUUCCAACGAGGUGCUAAUACCGCAUACGACCGCCGGUCGCAUGGCCGGCUGGUGAAAGGUGGCCUCUGCUUGCAAGCUGCCGCUGCUGGAUGGUCCCGCGCCCGAUUAGCUUGUUGGCGGGGUAACGGCCCACCAAGGCUACGAUCGGUAGGCGACCUGAGAGGGUGACCGCCGUCACUGGGACUGAGAUACGGCCCAGACUCCUACGGGAGGCAGCAGUCGAGAAGCUUCGGCAAUGGGCGAAAGCCUGACCGAGCGACGCCGCGUGAGCGAUGAAGGCCCUAGUGGUCGUAAAGCUCUGUCAGAUUGGGAACAAAUCCCGGGGGCGAACAACCCCCGGUGCUGAGGGUACCGUCAGAGGAAGCACCGGCUAACUCCGUG